Long non-coding RNA from Phyllopteryx taeniolatus (common seadragon), 2437 nucleotides. RefSeq lists it as uncharacterized. The record is from RefSeq and is a predicted model, not a curated record. NCBI's taxonomy places the organism in Eukaryota, Metazoa, Chordata, Actinopteri, Syngnathiformes, Syngnathidae. The transcript is spliced from 3 exons.
UCUGUUUUGAAUUUGUUCUCGCCAUGAAUGGCACGUGAGCGCAUCCUGUGGCGGCGCAAAAUGCAACCGGCAGCUGUGUUUAUGUGCUCGUGAGGACAAUGUGUGGCGGGAUUCAGGCAAGAAGAACGCCCCGUGAGCUCAAAGUUCAAUGCUGAAACGAGGAGGAGGCUCAGGCUUUGAUGCAUGGGGAGAUAUACUUCAUCAUGCGGGAGGACAGCUUUGCUUAUGAUAUUCAGGACGGGAUGUUUGGAUUUUUGGAGCGUGAGCGCUUUGUCCGUGACCCACAAAGGGGAUAUGUUUGUAUUAAGCGACUGAACGUGAUUCAUGUGGGAUAUAUUGCAAAUAAAUGUGUGUGUUUAUCUUGACAUUUUACCAUACGCAUAGGAGAAACACGAACGUCUGUGGAAACGGCGGACACCCAGCAGACUUCUUAUUCGGCAGUUCGUCGAGAUUCAAUACGAGAGCCGGGGCGGAAAUUCGACCUUCGGCAAUCCGUAUGCCAGUCGGUCGCAGGGCACAGCCGGGCGGAGCGCACCCGCACCUACGGACAAUUUGGAGUGGUCAAUGAAGCGAAGGUUAGAAAGCAUCUUUUGCCAGUGGAAUGGAAGCUGCAGGCGGGGAGAGACUCACGCAAGCACAGGAAGAAUUUGCAAACGCCACACAGGAAAUCCUGAGCUGAGAUUGCAGCCCACAACCUCACAACAAUGUUCACCUGUCAAUUAUAAUGUGUGUUGCAUUCCUUUUUCAUUCCUUUCGCUCUAUAUAAUUGGCACAUUGAGCUUUUGUAAAUACUACAAUAAAUCAACAGUAGCAUCAAUUUGACAAAUGCAUUCAACAUGUCAUUGUUCCAUUCGAUUGAAUCCGAAUCCGAAUCCGAAUCCGAAUCCUCUUUAUUGCCAAGUAUGUCCAAAAAACACACGAGGAAUUUGUCUCCGGUCGUCGGAGCCGCUCCAGUACGACAAUAGGCGGCCAUUUUGACAGUCAAUACUUGGGAGAACUGAAAACAUAAACACGAACCACGGCGAGUCACUGAGCCUCGCGCAAGAGGGAAGAAGCGGAAAGGCGUCACGUGAUAAUCCCGAUGUUUUGGCGACCUUUUUCGCUGCAUGAGAGGCUCAUUUAUUGAUACAGGGCUCGUAUUAGAUCUCACUGAAGAUUUUGUAUUUUUUUUUUUUUAAAUUCAUUUACAUGAUUUUUGUUGAUUCCCUGUUUAUGCACGACAUUUGAAUAAUAUUGGAGUAAAUUUCAAUACUGAUUUAGAAGUUGAACUGCUUAGCCCCUCCCCCCCGAAACAACGUGUCGGCAUUGUCGACUUCAGCCUCGUGGCGGUGAAAGUCGUGAUUGAUGUCGUCCGUGUUGGUGUUGUUGGCAGCAGGCCGGAAAGAUUGCAUCCAAGUGCUAAAAGAGUCUGAAACCACCGAACGACGUCGCCCACGUAAGGAAGACGUGCCUUGUGAGAACAUUUAUGGACACUUUUUAUUAUGAUGCAGCACAAUCAUUGGGAGGAAAGGAGAAAAUGUUGAGAAGUAGUCGUGCGAGGCCCUGAGAAGGUACACAGGCAGAAAGUGUUUCACCCGAGAGGCCCUCUUCCAUCGCUGCAAUUUGACAACCGACUCUCACAAACCACAAGCGGAAAUGCUGGAGCUGGUGCCGAGGGCCACGCAGAGCCACCCCGCCUGCCUGCACGGCCACCCGGCGGCCGCCGCGUGCGUCUUCGAUCUCGCCGCGCGCAGGAGCAGGACCAGGGCCGAGGCCAUGUCGCUACGCCUGCUCUGCGCUCCUGCUGCACACCAUGAAGACCUUACACCGACAUACGCAGGUGUCGCUCUCUGUGUCCGUCCGUCCCUCCGUCCAUCCAUCCAUCCGUCUACAACAUCGACCUUGCGAUUGCAGGAUUGAUUCAAAAUGUUGUCAUUCAAAGAAGAGCAAGUAACUUCAUAAAUUAAAAUGAGCCUAUUUUAUCGUGGUCGAGAACGUGACUGCUCAGCCAAUGACGACUUUUUGUUAUCACGAUGCCUCGGGGCGACCGGAGCGGCUUCGGUUUGAAGGAGCAGAGCCCAAGAGCGUGAGGGGAAAAAAACUUCACCGAACGAUCAAGUGUGUGCCGGUUAGCUAAUAUUCAUCUGCGCAUCCAACAAAACUCAUUGCAGCUCUACUUAUCUUUGGCCUUUGACGUGAUUGACAGGAGCGUCCUACCAGUUGGAUCCACGGCGAUGUGAAGUGACGAUAGCGUUGCGGACAGUCGCUCGGAAGGGAAUCUGCAUCUGCAUCGUCGCGUCACGGGCUGAGAAACUACGUGGCGCGGCAAUUUGGAUCCAAUUCACAGCAGUUCACUCACAGACACAUUUUCAGAUAUGUGCAGCUGAAAAUCAAAGAUUCUCUUGGUUGUGUCAUCUCGUGGGCAGCCACUCCAGGGACGCAACCAUUCAGCCAUUAA